RNAcentral lists this ribosomal RNA (493 nucleotides) under uncultured bacterium. Its description in RNAcentral is "partial 16S ribosomal RNA". It matches the Rfam family "Bacterial small subunit ribosomal RNA", at positions 28 to 506 of the family's 1533-position model. The record is from RNAcentral.
GACGAACGCUGGCGGCGUGCUUAACACAUGCAAGUCGAACGGUGAAGCGCCUUCCUUUUUGGUGGGUGUGGAUGAGUGGCGAACGGGUGAGUAACACGUGAGUAACCUGCCCCCUUCUUCUGGAUAACCGCAUGAAAGUGUGGCUAAUACGGGAUAUUCUGGGUCUGUCGCAUGAUGGGUCUGGGAAAGAUAUUGUUUCGGUGGGGGAUGGGCUCGCGGCCUAUCAGCUUGUUGGCGGGGUGAUGGCCUACCAAGGCGGUGACGGGUAGCCGGCCUGAGAGGGUGGGGGUUCAAACGGGGAAGGAGACACGGCCCAGAACCCUCGGGGGGGCAGCGGUGGGGAAUAUUGCAAAAUGGGCGAAAGCCGGAUGCAGCGACCCCGGGGGGGGGAGGGGGGCCUUGGGGUUGUGACCCCCCUUCGCCAGGGAAGCGGGCCUGCCUUUUUUGGGGGGGGGUUGAGGGUAGCUGGAUAAGAAGCCCCGGCUAAUUAAGG